This 445-nucleotide ribosomal RNA is filed under the name uncultured bacterium. RNAcentral describes it as "partial 16S ribosomal RNA". It matches the Rfam family "Bacterial small subunit ribosomal RNA", at positions 354 to 796 of the family's 1533-position model. The record is from RNAcentral.
GUGAGGAAUAUUGGACAAUGGGCGCAAGCCUGAUCCAGCCAUGCCGCGUGCAGGAAGACGCAUCUAUGGUGUGUAAACUGCUUUUGUACGGGAAGAAACACUCCCUCGUGAGGGAGCUUGACGGUACCGUAAGAAUAAGGAUCGGCUAACUCCGUGCCAGCAGCCGCGGUAAUACGGAGGAUCCAAGCGUUAUCCGGAAUCAUUGGGUUCAAAGGGUCCGUAGGCGGUUUAAUAAGUCAGUGGUGAAAGCCCAUAGCUCAACGAUGGAACGGCCAUUGAUACUGUUAGACUUGAAUUACAAGGAAGUAACUAGAAUAUGUAGUGUAGCGGUGAAAUGCUUAGAUAUUACAUGGAAUACCAAUUGCGAAGGCAGGUUACUACUUGUGGGUUGACGCUGAUGGACGAAAGCGUGGGGAGCGAACAGGAUUAGAAACCCCUGUAGUCC